AUACGGAGGAUCCGAGCGUUAUCCGGAUUUAUUGGGUUUAAAGGGUGCGCAGGCGGCCAUUUAAGUCAGCGGUUAAAUCGUGGGGCUCAACCCCAUUCUGCCGUUGAUACUGGGUGGCUUGAUUGCGGUCGAGGUUGGCGGAAUUCGUUGUGUAGCGGUGAAAUGCAUAGAUAUGACGAAGAACACCGAUUGCGUAGGCAGCUGACCAGACCGCAAAUGACGCUCAUGCACGAAAGUGCGGGGAUCGAACAGGAUUAGAUACCCUGGUAGUCCGCACAGUAAACGAUGAAUACUUGUUUUCGGCGAUAUAAUGUCGGAGGCAAAGCGAAAGCGAUAAGUAUUCCACCUGGGGAGUACGCCGGCAACGGCGAAACUUAAAGGAAUUGACGGGG
RNAcentral lists this ribosomal RNA (392 nucleotides) under uncultured bacterium. RNAcentral's name for it is "partial 16S ribosomal RNA". It matches the Rfam family "Bacterial small subunit ribosomal RNA", at positions 523 to 918 of the family's 1533-position model. The record is from RNAcentral.